Molecule: ribosomal RNA, 206 nt
Filed under: uncultured bacterium
Lineage: Bacteria
Description: partial 16S ribosomal RNA
Rfam family: Bacterial small subunit ribosomal RNA
Source: RNAcentral
UUCGUAGGUGGCCACUUAAGUCAGACGUGAAAUCCCUCAGCUUAACUGGGGAACUGCGUCUGAUACUGAGUGGCUUGAGUGCAGGAGAGGAAUGCGGAAUUCCAGGUGUAGCGGUGAAAUGCGUAGAUAUCUGGAGGAACACCGGUGGCGAAGGCGGCAUUCUGGACUGUAACUGACACUGAGGAACGAAAGCCAGGGAGCAAACG